RNAcentral lists this ribosomal RNA (468 nucleotides) under uncultured bacterium. RNAcentral's name for it is "partial 16S ribosomal RNA". It matches the Rfam family "Bacterial small subunit ribosomal RNA", at positions 28 to 507 of the family's 1533-position model. The record is from RNAcentral.
GACGAACGCUGGCGGCGUGCUUAACACAUGCAAGUCGAACGGAAAGGCCCUGCUUUUGUGGGGUGCUCGAGUGGCGAACGGGAGAGUAACACGUGAGUAACCUGCCCUUGACUUUGGGAUAACUUCAGGAAGCUGGGGCUAAUACCGGAUAGGAGCUCCUGCUGCAUGGUGGGGGUUGGAAAGUUUCGGCGGUUGGGGAUGGACUCGCGGCUUAUCAGCUUGUUGGUGGGGUAGUGGCUUACCAAGGCUUUGACGGGUAGCCGGCCUGAGAGGGUGACCGGCCACAUUGGGACUGAGAUACGGCCCAGACUCCUACGGGAGGCAGCAGUGGGGAAUAUUGCACAAUGGGCGGAAGCCUGAUGCAGCAACGCCGCGUGCGGGAUGACGGCCUUCGGGUUGUAAACCGCUUUCGCCUGUGACGAAGCGUGAGUGACGGUAAUGGGUAAAGAAGCACCGGCUAACUACGUG